This 647-nucleotide ribosomal RNA is filed under the name uncultured bacterium. Its description in RNAcentral is "bacterial SSU rRNA". It matches the Rfam family "Bacterial small subunit ribosomal RNA", at positions 110 to 753 of the family's 1533-position model. The record is from RNAcentral.
GUAAUACAUCGGAACGUACCCAGUAGCGGGGGAUAGCCCGGCGAAAGCCGGAUUAAUACCGCAUACGCCCUACGGGGGAAAGGGGGGGAUCGUAAGACCUCUCACUAUUGGAGCGGCCGAUGGCUGAUUAGCUAGUUGGUGGGGUAAAGGCCUACCAAGGCAACGAUCAGUAGCUGGUCUGAGAGGACGACCAGCCACACUGGGACUGAGACACGGCCCAGACUCCUACGGGAGGCAGCAGUGGGGAAUUUUGGACAAUGGGCGAAAGCCUGAUCCAGCAAUGCCGCGUGUGCGAAGAAGGCCUUCGGGUUGUAAAGCACUUUUGUCAGGGAAGAAAUCGUUCGGGCUAAUACCUCGGGCAGUUGACGGUACCUGAAGAAUAAGCACCGGCUAACUACGCGCCAGCAGCCGCGGUAAUACGUAGGGUGCAAGCGUUAAUCGGAAUUACUGGGCGUAAAGCGUGCGCAGGUGGUUCGUUAAGACAGUUGUGAAAUCCCCGGGCUUAACCUGGGAACUGCAAUUGUGACUGGCGGACUAGAGUUUGGCAGAGGGGGGUGGAAUUCCUGGUGUAGCAGUGAAAUGCGUAGAUAUCAGGAGGAACACCGAUGGCGAAGGCAGCCCCCUGGGCCAUGACUGACACUCAUGCA